Molecule: small nucleolar RNA, 66 nt
Organism: Erinaceus europaeus (western European hedgehog)
Lineage: Eukaryota; Metazoa; Chordata; Mammalia; Eulipotyphla; Erinaceidae
Source: Ensembl
UGCUCUGAUGAAAUCACUCAUAGGAAGUGCCGUCAGAUGCAAAAAAAAAAAAAGUAUGUUGUGAUG